UGGCACAUGCUAGAAACCAAAGGAGCUAUUGUCUGAUCACUCGAUCAAUAAGUCACAAUAUGAAACAAACAAAACCCCUCAAAGAGAACAACUCUGCUUUCAGUUGGGACUGGGACCAAAGAAAGGAAGAAAUGAAGGAAGCAAGUAGAUCAUACACAGGCUUUGCAUUUGGUGGCCACUGGGCAUGUGAUGCCAUUACCCAGGUUGUCCAAAAUGUCCUGAGUGCCCAGUGACGGAGAUGUUUCAGCUGCUACUGGUUAGUGGAAAGGAAUUGUCCUCUAGGAAGAAGCAAUUUCCAAAGCCGGGAAAUGCUGCUGACCAUGCUGGGAGCGCACAGGAGCUGUCAAGGAUGAAGAAGCACCAGAUGAAAAGCACCAAGGGAUUUUGUCUGCAAGAUGCUGACCAUACUCCCAAGG
Melopsittacus undulatus (budgerigar) is the source of this 416-nucleotide long non-coding RNA. RefSeq lists it as uncharacterized. The transcript has 3 exons. The record is from RefSeq and is a predicted model, not a curated record. Lineage: Eukaryota; Metazoa; Chordata; Aves; Psittaciformes; Psittaculidae.